This 73-nucleotide transfer RNA is filed under the name Elusimicrobiota bacterium. RNAcentral's name for it is "Elusimicrobia bacterium (activated sludge metagenome) tRNA-Ala". It matches the Rfam family "tRNA". Rfam says of the family: Transfer RNA (tRNA) molecules are approximately 80 nucleotides in length. Their secondary structure includes four short double-helical elements and three loops (D, anti-codon, and T loops). The record is from RNAcentral. RNAcentral also lists the same sequence under 1 other name. Lineage: Bacteria; Pseudomonadati; Elusimicrobiota.
GGGGCUGUAGCUCAGCUGGGAGAGCGCCUGCUUUGCAAGCAGGAGGCCGCCGGUUCAAUCCCGGCCAGCUCCA